GUGGGGAAUCUUGCGCAAUGGGCGAAAGCCUGACGCAGCCAUGCCGCGUGUGUGAAGAAGGUCUUCGGAUUGUAAAGCACUUUAAGUUGGGAGGAAGGGCAGUAAGUUAAUACCUUGCUGUUUUGACGUUACCGACAGAAUAAGCACCGGCUAACUUCGUGCCAGCAGCCGCGGUAAUACGAAGGGUGCAAGCGUUAAUCGGAAUUACUGGGCGUCACGGGCGCGUAGGCGGACAGCUUAGUCAGAGGUGAAACCCCAGGGCUCAACCUAUGUAUUGCCUUUGAUGCUGGCUCUCUUGAGUUUGGGAGAGAUGAGUGGAACUCCGAGUGUAGAGGUGACAUUCGUAAAUAUUCGGAAGAACACCAGUGGCGAAGGCGACUCACUGGCCCAAUACUGACGCUGAGGCGCGAAAGCGUGGGGAGCAAACAGGAUUAGAAACCCUGGUAGUCC
RNAcentral lists this ribosomal RNA (450 nucleotides) under uncultured bacterium. RNAcentral's name for it is "partial 16S ribosomal RNA". It matches the Rfam family "Bacterial small subunit ribosomal RNA", at positions 354 to 796 of the family's 1533-position model. The record is from RNAcentral.